Nicotiana attenuata is the source of this 507-nucleotide long non-coding RNA. RefSeq lists it as uncharacterized. The transcript is spliced from 3 exons. The record is from RefSeq and is a predicted model, not a curated record. Lineage: Eukaryota; Viridiplantae; Streptophyta; Magnoliopsida; Solanales; Solanaceae.
GCCACCUCUGGAUAUAGUUAUCUUCGGGACUCUUUUCCUAUUAUUAGUUUAGUUGAAUACCUCGUUAUGUUGUCAAGGCUUGAUGAAAUGAUUAAUAUUGAGCAUUCAAAACGUAAGAAAAUUAGGUUGGGGAUCUUGUUCUGCGUUUCCAGCUGAAGAAGAGUAAAAAAAAAAUGAAGGGGCUUAGACAUCAUGGCCAUGUGAUCAGCUCCUGAGAUCUCUUCCACUUCGUCUGGUGGAUUCUUUUCAAUCAUGUCAAGGAUCAGGGGCGGAGCUAGCAUAUAUAGGGUUUGCCGGUUCGGCCGAACCAAUAAUUUUUAUCUAAAUUCUGUAUUUGUCUUAAAUAAUUCAUUGAAUAUAUAUAAUUAUUAAUUUAAAACCCAAUAACAUAAGCAAACUAGAAUCCCAAACCCACAACUUUCAAAUACUAUAAGGUGGGGUUGCAGAAGUUUGUCUACGCAUGAUAUAUACACAUUAACCUUAAUUAAGAAUGUCAGAUGUAAUGAA